RNAcentral lists this ribosomal RNA (497 nucleotides) under uncultured bacterium. RNAcentral describes it as "partial 16S ribosomal RNA". It matches the Rfam family "Bacterial small subunit ribosomal RNA", at positions 28 to 507 of the family's 1533-position model. The record is from RNAcentral.
GAUGAACGCUGGCGGCGUGCCUAAUACAUGCAAGUCGAGCGAACGGACGAGAAGCUUGCUUCUCUGAUGUUAGCGGCGGACGGGUGAGUAACACGUGGAUAACCUACCUAUAAGACUGGGAUAACUUCGGGAAACCGUAGCUAAUACCGGAUAAUAUUUUGAACCGCAUGGUUCAAAAGUGAAAGACGGUCUUGCUGUCACUUAUAGAUGGAUCCGCGCUGCAUUAGCUAGUUGGUAAGGUAACGGCUUACCAAGGCAACGAUGCAUAGCCGACCUGAGAGGGUGAUCGGCCACACUGGAACUGAGACACGGUCCAGACGCCUACGAGAGGCAGCAGUAGGGAAUCUUCCGCAAUGGGCGAAAGCCUGACGGAGCAACGCCGCGUGAGAGAUGAAGGUCUUCGGAUCGUAAAACUCUGUUAUUAGGGAAGAACAUAUGUGUAAGUAACUGUGCACAGCGUGACGGUACCUAAUCAGAAAGCCACGGCUAACUACGUG